UCUUCGUAUUUUGUUCUUAUACUGAACUAGACUCUAACUCCAAGUGCCUCUUAAUGGACCUUAGUCCAUUACGUGAUGGAUGCGAUGUAUUUACCCUUGCACGAACCUGCACUUCCACAAUUGUACUUGCCACCCCUAUAAAACACAUGAAAACAAAUCUUACCUUUUUAACCAUUUAUCAUAAGUUUCAAAUGUUCGAAUUAAAAUUACAUUUCGAAAAUUUAGAAAGUUUUCAAAUUUGAAAAGUUUCGAAAGUCUCCAAAUCUGAAAAAUUUUCAAAUCCGGAAAGUUUUAAAAUUUCCUAUUUUGAAAGUUUUGUAUUGUUCGAAAGUUUCGAAAAUUCUGGAAUUUUCUAUUUCGGAAGUUUCAAAAAUUCUAAAAAUUGUCAUUUCGAAACUUUCAAAUAUUCUAGAAAUUUUAUGUUUAAGAACUUUGAAAUUUUCGAGUGUCACUUACUUUUGAUUUCGAAAAUUUUAAAAGUUUCGAAGGUUAAGAUAAUUUUUCUAAAAUUUCCAAAGAGUGGUGACAAAAUGCGAAGUUAAAAAAAUAAAAAAAAAUUUAUAAAUAAUUAAAAUAAUAAAAUUAUAUUUUCACGUUAAUUGAAAGAUAACAUAUUUAGAUGUGGAGUAUGGGAUAAAAUUUUAACCAUUAAACUAUAAUUUACACUGUACAAGAUGAUAAUACGAUAUGUAACCAUCUAACUUCUAAUAUCACUCAUCUUUAAAGGAAUCCUAUAAAAGACUUAAAUUUAAAAUGUAAGAUAACUUUCAAAUGUAAGAUAUAUUUUCCUUCUUACCUUACACUUUCUCGAACUUGUAAGAAGUGUGGUCAACAACCCUACACCUCUCCAAAAAUAGUUCUUGACCAUCUCCAAGAGUCCUAACCGAAUGAGUUUUCUUCUACUUCCCUUCCCUUCCAUACUCCCAAAGAGAGCAUACGAGGGGAGAGUAUCCCUACAAACACAACCUUUUGUCUUGUAUUUAUAUAUAGUACGAUUCCCU
Molecule: long non-coding RNA, 1001 nt
Filed under: Cicer arietinum (chickpea)
Lineage: Eukaryota; Viridiplantae; Streptophyta; Magnoliopsida; Fabales; Fabaceae
Description: long non-coding RNA (CARI_LNC001640)
Source: RNAcentral